RNAcentral lists this long non-coding RNA (5804 nucleotides) under Homo sapiens (human). RNAcentral's name for it is "HSALNT0076436". Lineage: Eukaryota; Metazoa; Chordata; Mammalia; Primates; Hominidae. The record is from RNAcentral.
UAAGAAUCCAGUGAUUUGGGAAAUAUCAGAAUAUUGCUUUGAAAGUGAGAUAUCUGCUCACCUACCACAAAGAAAGGCAGAUUGCUUGGAGGGCAUUUUUGAAUUUUGGAGCAAAAUAUAGCAGGUUUAAAUUGUCAGUGUGGAAUGGGUCCCACAUCAAGAAAAGGCUUUGCAGCAAGUCCAGGCUGUAAUAAAAACCCUGCAGACACUUGGACAUUUUAACCCAGAAAAGCCUGUGGAGGUAGAAGUUCUGCUAUAUAAAGAACGGCACAGGGAGGAGGUCUGGCAGGCUGGAGGAGAGGGAGGUGCAGGUUCCUAUUCCCUCAGCUACCUUCCGCCUGUUUUGGCUAUCUCUACUGAAAGAUCCUGUUCUUCUCAGGCAUCUUUCCCCACAGAGCCUCUCUCCACCUUCUUGUAACUGUUCGUUUCCUUGCCUCUUUAGGCCUAGGAAUGACAGUGGCUCCCGGCUGUGGCCAAGCCCAUAGGACUGCACAAGUAUUUUAUGAUGUUCCUCUACCCUUUUGUAGUCGCUUUAUUAACCUCUUCUGUUUCAAAGUGACAUCUCUUUCCUGUGCCUGCUUGUUUUCAGCAAGAAAAUAGAGAAUCUGAUGAAAUAGGAUCCCAUUCUACAGAACAGAAAAGAAGCCUGUGGAUAUUUAGUGGUAGCACAAUCACAGGAAGACAGAGUCUCUAUCAGCCGGGCUGGGGUGCAAUGGCAGGAUCUUAGCUCACUGCAAACUCCACCUCUCCGGCUCAAGCAAAUCUCCUGCCUCCUGCCUCAGCAUCCCGCCCACCUCGGCCUCCCAAAGUGCUGGGAUUACGCCACCGUGCCCAGCCCUCAAUUUUUGAAAAGAAAAAUAAUUGUAAUGUUAGGAAAGUUUGGUAUCACUGGAGGAGAAAUAACCCAAUAAGAAAAUAGAAAACCUAGAAAAUUCAUAUGUUUAUGAAAAAAUAUUUAUUUCUAUGAUUAUGUGUUAUACUUGUAAAUUAAAUUUAAAUUCUGAAUUAAAUUUAUAGUUACCGUUGUCAUAUUAUAUGGCAAUAAAAUAAGUAAUUUAUUUAUAAAAUUACACCAUUGAUUUGAAACAGAAUAAUCCACUUCCCCAAGAUUUUGGCAAAGUCCUAAUGAGAUAAGCAUGAGAAUAUAGUCCCAUAUGUCUUUUAAAUAAGAAUUAUAUAUUUACACAUGUUUCCUAAAUUUAUCGAGGGUCAGAGAGAUAAGUUGACAAGCCAGUUAGCUGUCAAUUAUCUAUGACAAUGGAAUUAUAGCAAAUGGCUUGAAUAAGUUGCUAAUCCAAAAAGAUUCAUUCAUUGCUUUGAAGAUUGUUAUGAUUAUUUUCAGGAUCUUUUUCUCUGUGCUAAAAUGUAAUUCCAUUGCUUUAUUGCUGGCAGAAUUAGAUCCUAGCUUGGAAGCAAGAGAAAAACAACUUAGAAAAGCAAAUUUACUAUUAUAGAGCAAUGAAAUGCCUGGAGUGAUCUCAUUUGUGCAAGCUAUUCUCUUGUCAAAUCACCUACUAUGCACAUGUCUUUCUAAUUCUGGCACCUAAUUUAAUUGUUUAGAUUAAAUCUAUAAACCAGUGAUGCCAAAGUCUCUCUUCAUCUUUGUCCACUUCAGAAUAAAGUUUACUUCUUCAUUUUUAUUUAUAUAAUAAAUAAUUACUGAUUGCUAAAUAUGUCACAGGCAUCAUUCUGCAUAAUGGGGACAGAGCAGUGAGCAAAGCAAAUUAAAAUCCUUGCCUUCAUAGAGUUUACUUCCCAGGGGAAUAAAUGCUUAUCUCAUCAGCGACCUUUAUUCAUGAGAAAGACAUCAGUACCCUAUUGACUGAAGGGUCUUCAGUGCCAGGGCAAGUUUAUGAUACAGUGCAACAGGCUCCUGAUUCAAAAAAUCUCCUGAUAGAGAUUUGCUAUCCUGCCAGAGUCUCCAUUUUCACUACAAAGUAUUAACAAGACUAAAUUCACAAGUUGUCCUAGGGAUUAAAUUAGAUGAUAUGGGAAAAAAGAGUUUACAAAUUUGUAAGUUAUAUAUAGUUAUAUGUUUGUGUGUGUAUAUAUAAAUGAUUUACAGCUCUGUAUGCCUGCUUUAUGUAUUCAUAUGAUAGAUAUUAUCAUAAAAUUGUUACAUUGUAUUUUGGGACCGUUGUAUGUCCUCAGUGUCUCUCAUGAUACCUGGUAAAGGGAAAACAUUCAUUAAAGUUUGACUGGGCAAAUUAAUGGAUUAUUCACAAACAAGUUCCCUAAUUAUAUGAAUUUUAUUUUUAAAAUAUUCAAUAUUACUUCUAUUCCCUACAUAGUCCCACAGUUGCCUAUUAUUAAAUUUUCCAAUAAAGGGGCAUUUUAUCCAUCAGGAAAUAGUUGUAUUUACUUUUAAAUGAGAACAACCAGUAAAUUUUUUAAAGUAUAAGAUACAAUUUGCAAUAACAUGUACAUUUUUAAAAAAUAUAAAAUGCCAAAUACAAUAGCACUUACAAUAGCAAAAACUACCAAAUACUUACAAUAAGUGUACAAAAUACAUUUAGCAUCUCUACGCAGAAUAUUGUAAAUCUUGAUGGACAGAAAUGGUAAAAGACCUACACAAAUGAAGGAAAAUGCUGUGAUCAUAUAUUAGAGGAACCAAUAUUAUAAAAAACAUUAAUUUUUCUCAAAUUGGUCUUUAUGUUUGUUUUUUGCAGAGGUAAACUGAUUCUAAGAUUUAUGAGGAAUCACAAAGGGCCAAGAAUAGCAAUGCACACUUGAAGGAAAAUAAGGUCAGAGAGUCAAGUUACUAGUCAAAUAAUCGCCUAAAAAUUAAUUUACAAAUGGUAAUUACACUUAAUCUUUAAAGGAAAAAAACCAACACUGAAAGUAACAGAAUGGGAGCUAAAUGGGGAGAACUGCAAUAUCACCUCAGACACCAUGGCCCAGAACCAUCUGUGCUCAUGCAAGACCCAUAAUUGUGUGCUCCCCAUUGCCUAUCCCUAUCCCAUGAAUCCAAGAGGGCUGCCUCAACAGUAACCUGGAGUUGGGCUAUACACACUGUUACUGGCAAGGAAAUGAGGUAUGGAGAUAUCCAGCAAUCUUCUAAAUCAAUUAAGGAUUCACCACAAGAUACAGAGAGAAAAUCCAGGAUUUAUGACUGAAGACUGUUUAUUGGACUCAGUAGUACCUCAUGAUGCUGUCAUUAAUGUUUCUACAAUGCUUUCUCAUGGAUACAGAAUCCUCUUAGUCAACACUAUCAAUUGUGUUUGUCCUGUAAGUCAAUAAAAUAAUUUUAAAAGAUUUUUUUUAAGAGAUGGGGUUUCGCCAUAUUGCCUAGGCUGGUCUCAAGAAAUCUGCCUGCCUUGGCCUCCCAGUGCUGGGACUAAAGGCGUGAGCCACCAUGACUGGCCCAAAAACUGAUCUUUUUUUUUUUUUUUUUUUUUUUUUUAAUUGAGACGGAGUCUUGCUCUGUCGCCCAGGUUGGAGUGCAGUGGCGCAAUCGCGGCUCACUGCAAGCUCCGCCUGCCGGGUUCACGCCAUUCUCCUGCCUCAGCCUCUCGGAGUAGCUGGGACUACAGGCGCCCGCCACGACGCCCGGCUAAUUUUUUGUAUUUUUAGUAGAGACAGGGUUUCACCGUGGUCUCGAUCUCCUGACCUCGUGAUCUGCCCGCCUUGGCCUCCCAUAGUGCUGGGAAAACUGAUCUUUUAAGCCCAAUAUAAAGAAGGCCAAAGGAGGAAUGUUGCCUCUGCCUGGCUGUCUCAUCUGUGGUAGAGCUAAAAGUAAACAGAUCAGGGCCUUGGUUGGUGAAGACUCCACUUUAAAAGUUUCAGUUGAAUAUAGUUGAUUUUGGAAUAAGUCCAAAGAAGGAAGAAGGUUCUACUUCUGAGAUGGAAGCCCAUGAAGGCAUUAUGCCAGGAAAGAUUUUAAAAGCCAGGAAAUGAAUCAGGAUGGUUGUGAAUGGAGAAAGUCAAACACAUCAAUAAAUCAGGAGGGCCAGGCAGAUGAGAAACCAAAAAACGUAGCCAGCUUUGGCAAAUGCUCAUUACAAAUGAGAUUCCAGCCAGAUGAGCUGGUGGUUUAUUCAUUCACUCCAUUGUUCUUUUUAUCUAUGACAUAAUGGUUCAGUGUAAUUUCCAUAAAGCAAGACAUAUCUAUUCACUUUAGGUUGUUGUGUUCAUUAAAUGGAGAAAUCAUGUUUUCUAAAUUCUGACCUAUUGUUUGGUAUUGCACCUUUCGUGAACUCCAAAAAUAAUCUAAGAGGAAGAUCUUAAGCUUUAGUAUAAGUGGCAUCUUUUUUCAAGGAUGAAAAUUUAACAUGUAAGCUAGUGUUAAAUUCCUGACAAAUAUUCAUCAACAAAUGUACUUUCUACUGUACUCAAGACAAGAUGGUGUUAGGAGCUAGAGACUGAGCAUAUUGCUAAAUGGCCAUGGCCUUGAGAUUUAGUAAUGUGAAUUUAAGGGGAACAAGAAGUUCUCCAGUUCUCUACUCAAAUUAUUAUUGCUCAGAGCAAGCUAUUAGAUAUAAAUCUGAGAAACAAAAGAAAGACCAAUUAGAUAAUCUAUUUAUGCCUUGGAGAACUAAGCAAAAUGAGAAUGCUUCUAAUUUGUUUUGCUUGAAUAAACUCCAAUCAAAAGAUUGCCCUUUUGCAUGAUAACCAUAAUAACAUAGUAGACAGUUUUAUAAAUCUCACAUUUAUAAUUUGAAGUUUUGACAAGGCAUUUCUAAGUGGCAUUUCAGGAUUCUUAUCAAUUAUUUUAUUGACUGUAAAAUUACAUUUAGUGACUUGCUUAAGCUUUCUCUGCAAAUCAGGAUUUAGAAUCAAAUCCUUGCUUUACUUAAUAAUACUAUUUCUGAACACCAUAAAAUUUUUCCAAUUACAAAAAGCACUAUUUUAUCUGUUAUAUGGUACAGCUAUGGGCUGUAGUAAAAGCUACAGACUUUUUACCACUUUUCUUGGUCCUGAAGGAAAGGAGACAGAAGAUGUCCAUGUCUGCUUCAUAAAGCAUUAGAAAAGGUGAUCUUACAGAUGGAAAAACAUUCCAUUGAGAUAACUGUAAAAUUCAAAUCUAAUUAAACCCUGGCAUUGGGAGGUCUAUUAUUGCUUCUUCUUAUUUAAUGUAUAAUCAUUGAUAAAGCAAUACCUCUAAAAUGGGCCUUUGAAAACUAAACUUUUUUUUUUGUUUACUUUUUUUGUAACAAAAAGGUGGGGAAAUUUGAAAAGUUCGCUUCUUUGUAUGUUUAUGUGUAUGUUUUGAGUGUGUUUAAUUUCCUGCUUGUUUAGCUUUCUUUUAUAAUUUAAUUUUGCUGCUUAUGAUAAUACUGAGUAAUAUAAAGUACUUAGAAAAGACAUAUAGAUAUUUUUAAAUUAUAUACGUAGUCAUUAAAUCCUCACAACAACCCUAUGAGAUAAUAAAUUAUUGUCGUUAUUUUGUGAAUUGAGAAACUGAAGCACAAAUAUAUGUAAAUAACUUGUCCUGAACAUUCUUAUUUUAUAUUUCAACAGUAUCACUGAAAUUUGCUGUUCAAAUAUCACAAACUAUUCCUUGAAGGAUUUUCAUGUAAUAUAAAAAUAACAGGCUGGGGAAAUUCGCUUUCCAAUUAUUGAUUUUUAAGUUAAAACAUAAUUCCUGAAUUAAUUUAUUUGUCUUUCUUGAAGUUAGACAGCCAAUGUGUAUUUGAGUCUAGGAUGGAAUUCAAGCUAGGCAUUUUUAUAGAAAUUAACAUAUGCAAAUAUGUCAUUAUUUUAAAAAAUUUCCCUGCUAUAUAUAAAUAGAAAAGAUUUUUGAAUGAAGUAAACAGAUACAUUAACUGUCUUUCUUUUUCUUUCCCUCUAGAUAUUGAUUUUUC